Long non-coding RNA from Triticum dicoccoides, 607 nucleotides. RefSeq lists it as uncharacterized. The record is from RefSeq and is a predicted model, not a curated record. NCBI's taxonomy places the organism in Eukaryota, Viridiplantae, Streptophyta, Magnoliopsida, Poales, Poaceae. The transcript has 2 exons.
CCCCCAAGAGUUCUUUAUUCACACAUUUUUUCAAGGUUGGGGGUUUAAUGUAAGUUUUCUGCUAUUAAAACUGCAACUUUCCAUCCUGAUUGUGUCCAUGAUUAAGUUUUGGGUGUGGGCAGGGCAGGAGAUCAAGCACUCCGUCCUCUGCCAGGUCGCCGCCGCUGCCCGGGACGUGGACGCGCACGUGGGUCCGUCAGUCGCUGGCAAACAAGGUCGAGUCCGUGCAGAGCACUGGUCUCCUCCCUAUCGUCGUCGUCCUCCCUGCUGCCAGCGACGCCCUCCUGUCUCCUCUGCACCAGUCUACUCCUUCAUAUUAUUUACAAAAGAAAAUGGUUUGGGGUGAAGAGUUGAAGGCUUGAAGCCAAAUGUUCCUAAUCAAGAAGAUGACCCGCACAACUCCCCUGAAACAAGGCCAACACUAUGUGCCAAGAUUGAAGAUCCCAAAUAUGUUUACUUUGGUCCAAUAUCGUAUAGCAGUGUAAUGCUUCAGGCACUUUUUAUCAUUCAUUUUUAUUAUUCAAAUCUCUAUAUGGUUGCCAUAGAUGCUACUAUUACAUGGAUUUAUUACUAUUUUUCAUGUGUUGUUGAAAAUAGAACUCACUCA